RNAcentral lists this ribosomal RNA (368 nucleotides) under uncultured organism. Its description in RNAcentral is "bacterial SSU rRNA". It matches the Rfam family "Bacterial small subunit ribosomal RNA", at positions 526 to 896 of the family's 1533-position model. The record is from RNAcentral.
CGGAGGUGGCGAGCGUUACUCGGAAUCAUUGGGUGUAAAGGGCAGGUAGGCGGUCUAUUAAGUGAGGGGUGAAAUCUCCCGGCUCAAUCGGGAAACUGCCUUUCAAACUGAUAGACUUGAGUGUGAUAGGGGGAAACGGAAUUAGCAGUGUAAGGGUGAAAUCUGUAGAUAUUGCUAAGAACACCAGCGGCGAAGGCGGUUUCCUGGAUCACAACUGACGCUGAUCUGCGAAAGCUAGGGGAGCAAACAGAAUUAGAUACUCUGGUAGUCCUAGCCGUAAACGAUGAGUACUAGGUGUUGGACCGUAAGGUUCAGUGCCGCAGCUAACGCAUUAAGUACUCCACCUGAGGUCUACGACCGCAAGGUUA